Molecule: ribosomal RNA, 426 nt
Filed under: uncultured bacterium
Lineage: Bacteria
Description: bacterial SSU rRNA
Rfam family: Bacterial small subunit ribosomal RNA
Source: RNAcentral
GAACGAGAAAGUGGAGCAAUCCAUGAGUAAAGUGGCGACCGGGUGAGUAACACGUGACUAACCUACCUUCGAGUGGGGGAUAACCUAGGGAAACCUGGGCUAAUACCGCAUAACAUCUUUGGAGUGGAAAUUCUGGAGAUCAAAGGGGCAAUUCGCUUGAAGAGGGGGUCGCGGCUGAUUAGCUAGUUGGCGGGGUAAUGGCCCACCAAGGCUUUGAUCGGUAGCCGGCCUGAGAGGGCGCACGGCCACACUGGAACUGAAACACGGUCCAGACUCCUACGGGAGGCAGCAGUGGGGAAUUUUGCGCAAUGGGGGAAACCCUGACGCAGCAACGCCGCGUGGAGGAUGAAGUCCCUUGGGACGUANACUCCUUUCGACCGGGACGAUAAUGACGGUACCGGUGGAAGAAGCCCGGCUAACUUCGUG